UACGUAGGGUGCAAGCGUUGUCCGGAAUCAUUGGGCGUAAAGAGCGUGUAGGCGGCUCGAUUAGUCCGCUGUAAAGUCCAGGGCUCAACCCUGGGAUGCCGGUGGAAACUGUCGGGCUAGAGUCCGGGAGAGGCGAGUGGAAUUCCUGGUGUAGAGGUGAAAUUCGUAGAUAUUGGGAAGAACACCGGUGGCGAAGGCGGCUCACUGGCUCGUAACUGACGCUC
RNAcentral lists this ribosomal RNA (224 nucleotides) under uncultured bacterium. RNAcentral's name for it is "partial 16S ribosomal RNA". It matches the Rfam family "Bacterial small subunit ribosomal RNA", at positions 524 to 748 of the family's 1533-position model. The record is from RNAcentral.